AUACUCACCUUGCUCUUGGGGGACUGAGGAGAGGGAUGAAUCACAAUGAACCUGAACUUGCCCCUUCUGGCAACAGGAGAGGAGUCAGUCUGGAGGGCACAGGGCAAGGAAGAUGCUCCUUGCCAAAGUGAAGUCCCUGGGUUAGAGGGCCCUCCUCACAGGAUCUUCUCUGGGCCCCACCUUGAGGGCCCAGAGGUUCAGAGGAGCCUCCUCAAGAGCCCAGUACCCUAUAAGUCUCCAGAAGUUAUUCCAGGGAAAUUGGGGAUUUGGAUGGAGAAAAUCCCAAGGAAUGGACUUCAGCAGACGAACCUGUGGCGAGAUGAAUUCAUUCGUCCUGGGAGAAUGGAUAACAUACCCAUGUCAUUGCAAGAACUGCCUACUGAUAACCUAAAGAAGAGUCCCACCUACAGCUCUCUGCACACCAGCCCAUUGGCCAUUCUUGACUUCUCUGGUACCAGGACAUUCCAGGACCAGGGCACAGAUCCCCUUAAGAAGAACCCCAUCUACAACUCUCUGCACACCAGCACCUCAAAUAAUAUUGAUUUUUCUGGCACCAGGUCAUUCCAAGACCUUCCCGCCGAUUCCCCUAAGAAGAGUCCUACGUUCGGCAAUCUAUACAACAGUACACUGGCUAACAUUGACUUCUCUAAUUCUAGGCCGUUCCAGGAUCUCUGUAUCGAUCCUGCUAAACAUACCUCUUUGUACACCACCCCAGUAAUCAACACUGAUAGGCCACGAAGCCGGACCCUCAACACUGGAGUCUCCUCAUUGAAUGAGAACUCUCCUUCCUUGUGGGCUCCUAGAAUGGAUACUUUUGUACCUCACUUGAUGUCAUCUAAUCGGAAGGGAGGACAGACAGGACCUUACCAGUUUUUUCCUCCACUCACCCCACUUCGGACUCAAAGCACCAACCAAGGCAGCUCUGAGUCUCCCCGAUAGCCAGCUAGCCAGAAUGGCUCCUGAAGAACGAGACAAUAUGAAGAACAACGUGGCAAAUCCAGGGACACAGGGGUGGAGAGAAGAAAGGGACAAUUUCAGCAACUCCCUCUGCCCCCUUUCCCCUUACACUCUCUCUCUCCCCCCAAAUAAAAUUAACUAAAAACAGACACACAACCAACCAAUAGCUCAUAGGCUAUGAAGCCUUUCCAGAAACCAAGAGCCAAAUGUCUUCACUGAAGACAUAUUUCAACUCCAUGGAAGGCCUUCUCCCCUCUGACUUUGCUCAGGGUCAUAUGGUUUAAGAGUCCACUGAGGAAGAACUCUCCAACUCUCCAGCCUGUCGCCCUCCCUGAGCUAACAAGCCAGCCCUAACAUCAAUUAUAGCUCACAUACCUGUAAUAAUUUAGGGUUUACAAAGCACUUUCCCCACAAAUAAAAUAGUGGAAAGGG
RNAcentral lists this long non-coding RNA (1389 nucleotides) under Sarcophilus harrisii (Tasmanian devil). RNAcentral's name for it is "lncRNA (ENSSHAG00000024677.1)". Lineage: Eukaryota; Metazoa; Chordata; Mammalia; Dasyuromorphia; Dasyuridae. The record is from RNAcentral.